GAAAAGUGCCUACCCCUGGCCUGGGAUGCUUCCUCCUGGGAUGCUCCCACUUGGAACCCAACUAUUGUGCUGCAGAAGUUUAACUUAACUGUGUAAGGAGGCCAAGAGGAGGCCCUGGCUGCCAGCCAGCAUCAACUUCCAGUGACGUGAGUGUGCCAUUCUGGAACUGGAUCCUGCAGCCUCGGUGGAGCAGCCUCAGCUGAUGCCAUGUGGAACAGAGAUGAACUGCCGCUGCCGAGCUCUGCCCACGUUGCAGAAUCAUGAGCAAAUAUGUUGUGGAUUGGCUGUAACUCUGCUCUGGGAUCCAGGCUGAAGGAGCAGGCUCUAUCUGGAACAUUACUAGUCUCCAGGCAGAAGAAAAAGAGACAAUGAAGAAGAAAUAAAACAAACUUCUACAUGGCAAAAUAAACCUCUACAUGGCAAAAUAAACCUCUACAUGGCAAAAUAAACCUCUACAUGGAUAGAGAUCUGUCUCAGACACAUUUUGGUUUCCAUGACUUCUGAAUGGCAGCAUGAGGAGCUCCAUGAACCCUCUCCCCAGUGAAAUGACCAUAAUCUCUGGAAAUUGCUUAAGAUCAAAGCCACAACUAUUUAAAGCCUUUGGAAAUUGUUUUAUGGGGAUGCGGCAAAUUAAUAAACUUUUAUUCAAGAAAAUGUACUAAGUCUCAGUAAGAACAGUGAGAGUCAAUAACAUUUGUACCACAAAAGACUUCCUCCCUCCUUCUUCUAGCUCAGCAUGAUGGAAAAGUUACUCUAAGUAGGUGAAGCCGAGAACACGGGCUACCUCUUUCCCCAGCUCUCAGUUGAGGGCUACUAUAUC
This 820-nucleotide long non-coding RNA is filed under the name Homo sapiens (human). RNAcentral's name for it is "non-protein coding lnc-ABHD2-1:13". Lineage: Eukaryota; Metazoa; Chordata; Mammalia; Primates; Hominidae. The record is from RNAcentral.